Oncorhynchus masou masou (cherry salmon) is the source of this 243-nucleotide long non-coding RNA. RefSeq lists it as uncharacterized. The transcript has 3 exons. NCBI's taxonomy places the organism in Eukaryota, Metazoa, Chordata, Actinopteri, Salmoniformes, Salmonidae. The record is from RefSeq and is a predicted model, not a curated record.
AGAGUCUGGACUAUGACAACAGUGAGAAUCAGCUGUUUCUGGAGGAGGAGAGACGGAUGAGCUUCUUAGGGUUCAAGUGUUUGGAGAUCAGUCGGUGGGUGAUCUGUGGUCUGAUUGGCUUCCUGACUGGACUCAUAGCCUGCUGCAUAGAUAUCGCCGUGGAGAACCUGGCUGGGGUCAAGUACUACGUUGUCAAACAGAACAUCGAGAAGUUUACGGAGGUGGGAGGUCUCUCCAUCUCCC